This 332-nucleotide ribosomal RNA is filed under the name uncultured eukaryote. Its description in RNAcentral is "partial 18S ribosomal RNA". It matches the Rfam family "Eukaryotic small subunit ribosomal RNA", at positions 1470 to 1796 of the family's 1831-position model. The record is from RNAcentral.
CCCUUAGAUGUCCUGGGCUGCACGCGCGCUACACUGGAAGUUACGGAUUGAGAUACUACCUUGUCCGAAAUGGUCCGGGUAAUCACCUAAAAGCUUGUCAUAAUUGGAAUGGAUUAUUGUAACUAGUAAUCCUGAACGAGGAAUUCCUAGUAAGUCCCAGUCAACAGCUGGUACUGAUUACGUCCCUGCCCUUUGUACACACCGCCCGUCGCUACUACUGGUUGGACGUUUAAGCAAGAUUUUUAAACACUGACAGUGUGUAGUUCACGCUAUACUACAGUGAGAAGAAGAAGAUCGAGCUUACUUGUCUAGAGGAAGUAAAAGUCGUAACA